This 3314-nucleotide long non-coding RNA is filed under the name Triticum aestivum (bread wheat). RNAcentral's name for it is "long non-coding RNA (TAES_LNC005461)". The record is from RNAcentral. Lineage: Eukaryota; Viridiplantae; Streptophyta; Magnoliopsida; Poales; Poaceae.
UUACAAUCACUACUUCACACAAAGAUCAUUUAAUUCAUACAUCAUUCAGAGUACACACAUAGUCCGACUACAGACAAAUCCAAAUGAAAAGAAGAUAACCCCAAAUGCUAGAUCCCCGAUCGUCCCAACUGGGCUCCACUACUGAUCAUCAGGAAACGAAACAUAGUAAUGACCAAGGUCCUCGUCGAACUCCCACUUGAGUUUGAUAGCAUCACCUGCACUAGUAUCAUCGGCACCUGCAAUUGUUUUGGUAGUAUCUGUGAGUCACGGGGACUCAACAAUCUCAAAAACCCGCGAGAUCAAGACUAUUUAAGCUUAUGAGUAGGAUAAGGUAAUGAGGUGGAGUUGCAGCAACCACUAAGCAAAUAUGGUGGCUAACAUACGAAUACAAGAGUAAGAUGAGAAACUACGCAAUGGUCGUGAAGAUAGAAGUGAUCGAGAAGUGAUCCAGAAACUACGUUCAAUCAUAACCCAAACCGUGUUCACUUCCCGGGCUCCACCAAAAAGAGACCAUCACGGCUACACAAGCGGUUGAUGCAUUUUAAUUAAGUCAAGUGUCAAGUUCUCUACAACCGGAUAUUAACAAAUUCCCAUCUGCCACAUAACCGCGGGCAUGGCUCUCGAAAGUUUAUACCCUGCAGGGGUGUCCCAACUUAGCCCAUCACAAGAUCUCACGAUCAACGAAGGAAAUUCCUUCUCCCGGAACAACUCGGUCAGACUUGGAAUCCCGGUUACAAGACAUUUCGACAAUGGUAAAACAAGACCAGCAAGCCCGCCCGAAUGUGCAGACAAAUCCCGAUACGAGCUGCACAUAUCUCGUUCUCAGGGCACACCAGAUGAACACUACGUAGAGCAACCGAAGACCCGGGUGAAGGGGUGGCACUACAAGUGGCUCUAGGUUGGACCAACACUCAGAGGAGCACUGGCCCAAGGGGUUAAAAUAAAGAUGACCCUCAGGUUUGCAACCCCAAGGGAAAGUUAUAGGUUGUUAGGCAAAUGUCAAACCAAUGUUUGGCCUUGCUAGAGGAGUUUUAUUCAAAGAGAGCUGUCAAGAGGGUCCAAUAACCCCAACCGUUUAAGGAACACAAAAUCAAGGAACAUAACACCGGUAUGACGGAAACUAAGGCGGCAAGAGUGGACCAAAACACCAGGCAUAAGGCCUACCUUCCACCCUUCACCAGGCAUAUAGAUGCAUUAAUUAAAAUAAGAAAUAUUGUGAUAUCCCAACAUAACCAGGUUCCAACAUGGAGCAAUCUUCAACUUCACCUACAACUAACAACGCUAUAAGAGGGGUUGGGCAAAAGCGACAACUUAGCCAAACAACGGUUUGCUAGGAAGGUGGGUUAGAGGCUUGACAUGGCAAUAUGGGAGGCAUGAUAAGCAGGUGGUAGGUAGCGCGACAUAGCGAUAGAACGAACAACUAGCAAGCAAAGAUAGAAGUGAUAUCGAGGGUAAUGGUCAUCUUGCUUAAAAUCCCGAUAGGAAGAAGAACGAGUCAAUGAAGUAGACGAACCAACGUAGUCGAACAAAUCCUCACAAACGCAAUGUUACUGGAACUAUCAAGGAGAAGUGCAACCGGAAAGAAGCAAACAACAUGGUAAACAACCAUCACAUAAUCAUGGCAUGAUGCAAAAUCAACUAUGAUGCAUGUCCGGUUUAAAAAGGCAUGGCAUGGCAAAGUGCACAAAAAACACUACAAGUUAAGUGGAGCUCAAUAUGUAACGAGUUGCAUAUUGACGAAACACCAGACAUGACUUAUUUAGUUUGCUCUCGUUUAGGUACACAAGAAUAUUAAAUGUCGUUAAACAUGGCAAGAGGUGAAACAUAAUAAAACUACCUCUCUAAGCAAUUUAAAUGAGGCAGGAAACACAAACAAUAAUUCCGGAAAAAUCCCCAUGCCAUUUAGCAAUUUUAAUGCAAGCAACAAUUUUAAACAUUUUAAAUGUUGUUAUCAUGAUGCGGAUGACAUAUGCAAGUUAUAUUCAAUUUUAUGAAAAUGCUGACAUAAGCAUGUUAUGAAGCAUUUGGUCACCAUGGCGGAACAAAAGGGGUGCCAAGACAACGACAACGAAAAUGGUGCCACGGCAACAUUUUGAUGAUCCGGCAACUCAUUGAAAUGUCGGUGCAGCAGAAAGUGUAGAUGCGCAGAACAUGCAAAAGAAGGUGGGGUGAUCCCGAAUUACUGGCUUCCCACGGGUCGACGGCAUGGCAAACGAGGAGGAACAUGCAAGCGACAAUUUGAACACGGUGCAAGCACGGGCAUCUCAUACAACACACAUGCAUUCGUCCACGAGCGAUCAUCUUGGUGGUUAUACCUUCGAAGCGUGCAUUUCGGGGUGGUUCGAUUCGUAGUGGAAGUAGUGGUACUUGGCAAGGCGCACGGCGAUGGUAGUUGUACAUUUCGGCGGUAGACGAACUCGGUGAGCAAUGGUCGUUGUGGUACUUGGCGUCACUUCGUGUACUCGGUCUUGGCGAUCCAGAGAGGGUACUUGCUGGAUCCACAACACUGUAACCGUUCGUGGCAGAGGAACUUGAUGUUCACAGGUCUCCCAAAGAGGUCGUGGUACUUGCUGCUAUUCCCUGCUCGGUGGUCGUUGGACUGGGCGUCAACAGCAAUAGCAAGUGGAGGUGCAAGAUGAUAACGGGCAUCAAUGUGCGGAACGGGUACAGGAGGUCGGGGUUGUGUCUUGGAGUCUUUGUGACGAGGUCCACGCAGAAGCCGAGGAGGAGCGACGGGGAUGUGGGCUAGGCUGGAGGCGGCGAAGACAUGGCCGUUGAUGUGUGGCUGCUCGAAGGCGAGCAACAGCUUGAUGCAGGGGACUCGGCGACUCGCACGAUGCAGGGGGACUAGGCGCGCGGCUUCGGUCGCUCGUCUCCCUCACAGACGAGGACGAGGCAGGGGGUCGCGCGAGGAAGGUCGGAGGCACUGGAGGCGGACGCCGGAGGCCGCGGAGGGGCGGCUUGGCACCGGUGCCAGCAGCAGGCGGGGUCGGGGCUCAGGGCGACAAGCGGCAUGAGGUGAGCUCACGGGGAAGGCUGCAGGCACGGGAGAGAAGCAGGGAGGCGAAGGGAAGGCAGCGCGGCGGCGGCCUGUGCUCACCGGCGCGACGGACGGCAAAGCAAGGUCCGGCGGGCGCGGCGCAGCAAGGGACCGAGAGGAGCGUGGUGGCUAGCUGAUGGAGGAGGGCGUGAGGCGCGCAUGGCCAUGGGGAUUGGGAUCCCUCUCAUGUGUUUGCGAGGAGGGAGACGAGUGGAGGGGAAUGGGGAUCAAGCCGAGGGUCUUCCUGGCGGCGCAAGCGAGGGGAACGAGGGAG